Long non-coding RNA from Suricata suricatta (meerkat), 268 nucleotides. RefSeq lists it as uncharacterized. The record is from RefSeq and is a predicted model, not a curated record. The transcript is spliced from 2 exons. NCBI's taxonomy places the organism in Eukaryota, Metazoa, Chordata, Mammalia, Carnivora, Herpestidae.
GGAUGAUAUUAGCUGUGAGUCUUUUGGAUAUCAAGAUUGGAAUUUCUGUUCAACUGUUGUCAAGCUCACUGGUUCUUUUAUUGAUCAUCAAAGGCAUGCUUCAUCUCCCCUAAUAUGUUUUGCUUUAUGUAUUUUUCUGCAUUUCCAUUAGAUUCCUUCCUAAUCAUUUCCACAAAUCCAUUGAAAUCACCUAUCAGCCUUGCUUGUUGUCUACCUUCUUCAUUAAAGCCUUUAACCUAUUAAAUGGUUAUUUUAAACACCUCUUUUA